RNAcentral lists this ribosomal RNA (460 nucleotides) under uncultured bacterium. RNAcentral's name for it is "partial 16S ribosomal RNA". It matches the Rfam family "Bacterial small subunit ribosomal RNA", at positions 338 to 795 of the family's 1533-position model. The record is from RNAcentral.
CCUACGGGAGGCAGCAGUGAGGAAUAUUGGUCAAUGGACGAGAGUCUGAACCAGCCAAGUAGCGUGAAGGAUGACUGCCCUAUGGGUUGUAAACUUCUUUUAUAUGGGAAUAAAAUGUUCCACGUGUGGGAUUUUGUAUGUACCAUAUGAAUAAGGAUCGGCUAACUCCGUGCCAGCAGCCGCGGUAAUACGGAGGAUCCGAGCGUUAUCCGGAUUUAUUGGGUUUAAAGGGAGCGUAGGUGGAUUGUUAAGUCAGUUGUGAAAGUUUGCGGCUAAACCGUAAAAUUGCAGUUGAAACUGGCAGUCUUGAGUACAGUAGAGGUGGGCGGAAUUCGUGGUGUAGCGGUGAAAUGCUUAGAUAUCACGAAGAACUCCGAUUGCGAAGGCAGUUCACUGGACUGCAACUGACACUGAGGCUUGAAAGUGUGGGUAUCAAACAGGAUUAGAUACCCUUGUAGUC